RNAcentral lists this ribosomal RNA (497 nucleotides) under uncultured bacterium. RNAcentral describes it as "partial 16S ribosomal RNA". It matches the Rfam family "Bacterial small subunit ribosomal RNA", at positions 28 to 507 of the family's 1533-position model. The record is from RNAcentral.
GAUGAACGCUGGCGGCGUGCCUAAUACAUGCCAGUCGAGCGAACGGACGAGAAGCUUGCUUCUCUGAUGUUAGCGGCGGACGGGUGAGUAACACGUGGAUAACCUACCUAUAAGACUGGGAUAACUUCGGGAAACCGGAGCUAAUACCGGAUAAUAUUUUGAACCGCAUGGUUCAAAAGUGAAAGACGGUCUUGCUGUCACUUAUAGAUGGAUCCGCGCUGCAUUAGCUAGUUGGUAAGGUAACGGCUUACCAAGGCAACGAUGCAUAGCCGACCUAAGAGGGUGAUCGGCCACACUGGAACUGAGACACGGUCCAGACUCCUACGGGAGGCAGCAGUAGGGAAUCUUCCGCAAUGGGCGAAAGCCUGACGGAGCAACGCCGCGUGAGUGAUGAAGGUCUUCGGAUCGUAAAACUCUGUUAUUAGGGAAGAACAUAUGUGUAAGUAACUGUGCACAUCUUGACGGUACCUAAUCAGAAAGCCACGGCUAACUACGUG